UCUAAGGAUGAGUGAAAGUAAAAUUUCAUUCUAAAUAAUAUACAUAGGUAAUGUUGACCGUCCUCAUUUCUCUUCUUAAAGUAGUGUUUCUCUUGCAUGGGGGCCGGUAGCUCAGUUGGUUAGAGCACACCCUUGAUAAGGGUGGGGUCGAAAGUUCGAGUCUUUCUCGGCCCACCAAUUUAAGAUCAUGGGGGAUUAGCUCAGCUGGGAGAGCGCCUGAUUUGCAUUCAGGAGGUCAGCGGUUCGAUCCCGCUAUCCUCCACCAAUAAACAUUUAGCUAUAAAAAAUUGUAAAUAAAAAUAAUAAUUAAUAUCAAUAUCUAUAUCCGAACAUUAGUAAUGUUAUUAGCUAAUGUUCAAAAUAAAAAUUUGAUUCAACACAGAAUUUUUUCUGUGCAUAAAU
Molecule: transfer RNA, 402 nt
Filed under: uncultured marine alpha proteobacterium
Lineage: Bacteria; Pseudomonadati; Pseudomonadota; Alphaproteobacteria
Description: 16S-23S intergenic spacer region
Rfam family: tRNA (bases 101-174)
Source: RNAcentral